CAGCUUUUCAUUUUAUUUCUAAAACAAUGGCGGACAGCUCAAGCGGUAGACCACGAAGCUACAGACCGUACAUAGACGUUUCCUGGAGGUGCUGGUGCUGGCUGGUCCUCUGCUGCCCUCCUGACAUCUGCAUCUGGCUCCAAUGACCUCUGGCACAAACCUCACAUCCACCUCCAGGGCCUUUAAGAAGAUGGACCGCCAUCGCGUCUUCAGUAUCCCGAAGGACCUCUCCACAACACACCUCGCCUUUGACAGGCAGCAGUUGUAGCUUGGAGGUGGUUGUGGACAGGCUGCCUGAAGGGGUCAUGAGGCAGAUGGGUUGGGACAGGCAGGGGUAGCCACCAUCCCCAAGGAUACAGUAUCCUGGUGGAGGGUAUGACUGCUCAUAGAAGAUGGGGCUGUUAUUCAGGACCCUGGCAUCAUGCUCUGAGUCUGGGUAGCCCACACGCACAUCUAUGAAUUUUCACUUAUCAUCACAGAUGGCCUGCAGCUGGAUGGAAUGAAAAAGCUUCCUGUUAAAAUAGCAGGCAGCAUCCUCCGCUGGGUGCUUCACUCUGACGUGGCAGCCAUCAAUAGCCCCCACGACUCUGCUGAAGGCUUCCGACCCAGCUAGACGGGCGAAGCGGGCACCUCGGCGUGGGAGUUCCUCUCCUGUAGGGUGGCGGACAACGGUGUCCAGGAGCGUAGCGAUCUGCCCACUCAUCCUGUGCACCAGCCGGUGAACGGUGGCCCGGGGCAUGUCGAAAGCCCUGGCCACCACCAGAUAGGAGGUGGUGCUGGCAAGCCAAAAAAUAAAAACUAGACAGGAGAUCUCGGGGCAGCCAUGAGGGCGUUGAAUGACUCUCGGGUGAGCCUGAAGUCCACCCUCAAGUCACUGUGGCCAUCAAAAUACAACGCCAGCAGUGGCAUUGCAACAUUGAUACGGCAGCGCCGCCUGGGACUGGGUGGCUGCUGUAGAGUGUGUGGGGAGGGGAAGGGAAGAUUAUAUUAAUAUGUAAGUCAUUUUAUCAAUAAAAUGUUGUCAUUGA
Molecule: long non-coding RNA, 1028 nt
Organism: Pseudoliparis swirei
Lineage: Eukaryota; Metazoa; Chordata; Actinopteri; Perciformes; Liparidae
Exons: 2
Source: RefSeq, a predicted model, not a curated record